Transfer RNA from Rhizoctonia solani 123E, 82 nucleotides. It matches the Rfam family "tRNA". Rfam says of the family: Transfer RNA (tRNA) molecules are approximately 80 nucleotides in length. Their secondary structure includes four short double-helical elements and three loops (D, anti-codon, and T loops). Further hydrogen bonds mediate the characteristic L-shaped molecular structure. tRNAs have two regions of fundamental functional importance: the anti-codon, which is responsible for specific mRNA codon recognition, and the 3' end, to which the tRNAs corresponding amino acid is attached (by aminoacyl-tRNA synthetases). tRNAs cope with the degeneracy of the genetic code in two manners: having more than one tRNA (with a specific anti-codon) for a particular amino acid; and 'wobble' base-pairing, i.e. permitting non-standard base-pairing at the 3rd anti-codon position. NCBI's taxonomy places the organism in Eukaryota, Fungi, Basidiomycota, Agaricomycetes, Cantharellales, Ceratobasidiaceae. The record is from Rfam.
GACGGCUUAGCAAAGUGGUUACUGCGAUUGAUUAGAAAUCAAUUCCUCUCUGAGGGCGUAGGUUCGAGUCCUACAGUCGUCG